UGGUCCAUCGGUUCCAUCACAUGACCGGAAGGGGGAGGAGCUUGGCAUGCAAAUGAGACGAAGGUAUGACAAGGCAGUGGGCGGAGCAUCCCGGUGGGCGGGGCUUGGCGUUACCAUGGUGACAGCGGGGUGGGCGGAGCCAAGCCCUAUGGCGACUGCAUCCCUGUGGGCGGGGCAAACGGUUACCAUGGCAACACUAAGAUGGGCAGAGCCAAUCCUAUGGCAACAGCGUCCCUGUGGGUGGAGCUAAGGGUCACCAUAGCAACACAUGGGGGUGGAGCCAAUCCUUUGGCUACAGCAUCCCUGUGGGCGGGGCUAAGGGUCACCAUGACAACACUAAGAUGGGCGGAGCCAAGCCGUACGGUGACAGUAUCCCUGUGGGCGGGGCUAAGAGUCACCAUGGCAACACAUGGGGGCGGAGCCAAGCCCUAUUGGCGACAAUAUCAGUGUGGGCGGGGCUAACGGUCACCAUGGCAACACAAGGGGGCGGAGCCAAGCCCUAUCGGUGACAGUAGCUCUGGGGGCGGGGCUAAUGGUCACCAUGGCAACACUAAGAUGGGCAGAGCCAAUCCUAUGGCAACAGCAUCCCUGUGGGUGGGGCUGAGUGUUACCAUGGCAACAUUAAAUGGGCGGAGCCAAUCCUAUUGGUGACAGAAUCCCUGUGGGCGGGGCUAAGGGUCACCAUGGCAGCACUAAGAUGGGCGGAGCCAAUCCCGACGGUGACAUUAUCCCUGUGGGCGGGGCUAAGCGUCACCAUGGCAACACUAAGAUGGGCGGAGCCAAUCCCUAUGGCAACAGCACCCCUGUGGGCGGGGCUAAGGGUUACCAUGGCAACAUUAAAGGGGCGGAGCCAAGCCCUAUUGGCGACAGUAUCUCUAUGGGCGGGGCUAAGGGUCACCAUGGCAGCACUAAGAUGGGCGGAGCCAAUCCCUAUGGUGACAUUAUCCCUGUGGGCGGGGCUAAGGUUCACCAUGGCAACACUAAGAUGGGCGGAGCCAAUGCUAUGGCAACAGUCUCCCUGUGGGCGGGGCUAAGGUUCACCAUGGCAACACUAAGAUGGGCGGAGCCAAUGCUAUGGCAACAGUCUCCCUGUGGGCGGGGCUAAGGUUCACCAUGGCAACACUAAGAUGGGCGGAGCCAAUCCCUAUGGCAACAGCACCCCUGUGGGCGGGGCUAAGGGUCACCAUGACAACACAAGGGGGCGGAGCCAAGCCCUAUUGGCGACAGUAUCUCUAUGGGCGGGGCUAAGGGUCACCAUGGCAGCACUAAGAUGGGCGAAGCCAAUCCUACGGUGACAUUAUCCC
This 1304-nucleotide long non-coding RNA is filed under the name Gallus gallus (chicken). Its description in RNAcentral is "lncRNA (ENSGALG00010000129.1)". Lineage: Eukaryota; Metazoa; Chordata; Aves; Galliformes; Phasianidae. The record is from RNAcentral.